Molecule: ribosomal RNA, 546 nt
Filed under: uncultured bacterium
Lineage: Bacteria
Description: bacterial SSU rRNA
Rfam family: Bacterial small subunit ribosomal RNA
Source: RNAcentral
AGCGGCGGACGGGUGAGUAACACGUGGACAAUCUGCCCCCCGGUCCGGGAUAGCCCAGGGAAACCUGGAUUAAUACCGGAUGAGACGGGACCCGCGGAGGCGGGAUCCGGGAAAGGCGCUGCGGCGCCGCCGGGGGAUGAGUCUGCGUCCCAUUAGCUAGACGGCGGGGUAACGGCCCACCGUGGCGACGAUGGGUAGCCGGCCUGAGAGGGUGGACGGCCACAUUGGAACUGAGACACGGUCCAGACUCCUACGGGAGGCAGCAGCUAAGAAUCUUCCGCAAUGGGCGAAAGCCUGACGGAGCGACGCCGCGUGAACGAAGAAGGCCGUGAGGUUGUAAAGUUCUUUUCGGGAGGGGGAACAACCGUGGCAGGGAAUGGCCGCGGGAUGACGUGAAUCCCGGAAUAAGCCCCGGCUAACUACGUGCCAGCAGCCGCGGUAACACGUAGGGGGCGAGCGUUGUUCGGAAUCAUUGGGCGUAAAGGGCGUGCAGGCGGUCCUGCAAGUCCGGCGUGAAAGACCCCGGCCCAACCGGGGGGACGCGCU